This 915-nucleotide ribosomal RNA is filed under the name uncultured bacterium. RNAcentral describes it as "bacterial SSU rRNA". It matches the Rfam family "Bacterial small subunit ribosomal RNA", at positions 17 to 922 of the family's 1533-position model. The record is from RNAcentral.
UCCUGGCUCAGGAUGAACGCUAGCUACAGGCUUAACACAUGCAAGUCGAGGGGAAACGACAUCGAAAGCUUGCUUUUGAUGGGCGUCGACCGGCGCACGGGUGAGUAACGCGUAUCCAACCUGCCCACCACUUGGGGAUAACCUUGCGAAAGUAAGACUAAUACCCAAUGACGUCUCUAGAGGACAUCUGAAAGAGAUUAAAGAUUUAUCGGUGAUGGAUGGGGAUGCGUCUGAUUAGCUUGUUGGCGGGGUAACGGCCCACCAAGGCUACGAUCAGUAGGGGUUCUGAGAGGAAGGUCCCCCACAUUGGAACUGAGACACGGUCCAAACUCCUACGGGAGGCAGCAGUGAGGAAUAUUGGUCAAUGGACGAGAGUCUGAACCAGCCAAGUAGCGUGCAGGAUGACGGCCCUAUGGGUUGUAAACUGCUUUUAUAAGGGAAUAAAGUGAGUCUCGUGAGACUUUUUGCAUGUACCUUAUGAAUAAGGACCGGCUAAUUCCGUGCCAGCAGCCGCGGUAAUACGGAAGGUCCGGGCGUUAUCCGGAUUUAUUGGGUUUAAAGGGAGCGUAGGCCGGAGAUUAAGCGUGUUGUGAAAUGUAGAUGCUCAACAUCUGCACUGCAGCGCGAACUGGUUUCCUUGAGUACGCACAAAGUGGGCGGAAUUCGUGGUGUAGCGGUGAAAUGCUUAGAUAUCACGAAGAACUCCGAUUGCGAAGGCAGCUCACUGGAGCGCAACUGAUGCUGAAGCUCGAAAGUGCGGGUAUCGAACAGGAUUAGAUACCCUGGUAGUCCGCACGGUAAACGAUGGAUGCCCGCUGUUGGUCUGAAUAGGUCAGCGGCCAAGCGAAAGCAUUAAGCAUCCCACCUGGGGAGUACGCCGGCAACGGUGAAACUCAAAGGAAUUGACGGAAGGGC